This 328-nucleotide ribosomal RNA is filed under the name uncultured prokaryote. RNAcentral's name for it is "bacterial SSU rRNA". It matches the Rfam family "Bacterial small subunit ribosomal RNA", at positions 26 to 352 of the family's 1533-position model. The record is from RNAcentral.
AGAUUGAACGCUAGCGGCAUGCCUAACACAUGCAAGUCGAACGGUAACAGGCCCUUCGGGGUGCUGACGAGUGGCGGACGGGUGAGUAAUGCGUAGGAAUCUACCCACGAGUGGGGGAUAGCCCGGAGAAAUCCGGAUUAAUACCGCAUAUGCCCUACGGGGUAAAGCGGGGGACCGAAAGGCCUCGCGCAGCAGGAUGAGCCGAUGUCCGAUUAGCUGGUUGGUGGGGUAACGGCCCGACCAACGGCGACGAUCGGUAGCUGGUCUGAGAGGAUGAUCAGCCGACACUGGGACUGAGACACGGACCCAGACUCCUACGGGCGGCAGC